UACAGAGGUCUCAAGCGUUGUUCGGAUUCAUUGGGCGGAAAGGGUGUGUAGGUGGCGCCGUAAGUCGGGUGUGAAAUUUCGGAGCUUAACUCCGAAACUGCAUUCGAUACUGCGGUGCUUGAGGACUGGAGAGGAGACUGGAAUUCAUGGUGUAGCAGUGAAAUGCGUAGAGAUCAUGAGGAAGACCAGUGGCGAAGGCGGGUCUCUGGACAGUUCCUGACACUGAGACACGAAGGCCAGGGGAGCAAACGGG
RNAcentral lists this ribosomal RNA (253 nucleotides) under uncultured bacterium. Its description in RNAcentral is "partial 16S ribosomal RNA". It matches the Rfam family "Bacterial small subunit ribosomal RNA", at positions 524 to 776 of the family's 1533-position model. The record is from RNAcentral.